This 18-nucleotide small nuclear RNA is filed under the name Arabidopsis thaliana (thale cress). RNAcentral's name for it is "snRNA_08452". Lineage: Eukaryota; Viridiplantae; Streptophyta; Magnoliopsida; Brassicales; Brassicaceae. The record is from RNAcentral.
AAUAUUAGAGACGAUUUC